This 863-nucleotide long non-coding RNA is filed under the name Amphimedon queenslandica. Its description in RNAcentral is "uncharacterized LOC109587148, transcript variant X3". The record is from RNAcentral. Lineage: Eukaryota; Metazoa; Porifera; Demospongiae; Haplosclerida; Niphatidae.
AUUUCAUUUUAAGGACCAAGGAGGAGCUUGUAAUAUUGAGCCACUCCCUUUUGCAACUACAGCACAAUUGGCUUGUAACUUCUUCUUUAUAUUGACUGUAUCUUUUCAUUUCUUUAUCUUACAACAGUUGAUCAUUAACAGUGAUAGAGAUGAUUGAUGUCUCUCAAUGGAGAGCAAAUUGGACUGCGGAACUAUUGUCAAGCUGCCUCUAGUAGUAGGGAAAAAGAACACUCUCUUGUCAAUCACAUAAAUCAUUUUAUAUCAAAAUGGACUCUUGUAACUAUCAGAAAGAAGUGCAUAAGAAGAAACCAUACAAGUAGGGGAUUGGUAAAACCGGGCUCGGGAGGGGCUCGGGCACGGGAAAUGGCGGGGUAAAACCGGGCUGCCCCGGACUGGGGCUUCACCUAUUUUCAUGGAAUAAGGACUGAUAUGGAGCUAGUAAGGACAUAGAACAAACUACUGAGGAAGCCAUGAAUCCCCCUUGACUAAUGCUGGGAACAAGGCCUCUCUACACCGGGCCAUCUGUCUUCUAAGUCCACUACUUUAACUCUCUCAUUUUUAUUUCUGAUUUUAUUUGCUGUCAUUGUUAUCUUAAUUCUCAUUGUCCUUGAUUGUUGAUUUAUUUUUAUUUAUUUAUAUUUAUUACUAUUAUUUUUACUGUUGAUCAUUAUUCAUUUCCACUUUUCUUUUUGUUUUCCAGGGGCCAUAGCAGUUCAGUCUUGCUGGGAUGUCUGUGCCGUAUUAUGAAACUUACUCAAUUUGGUUUAUUGUAAAUAAAUUAUAUUACAAAACCGAACCAGAAACUAUCAGGAAAUUAGAUUUUACAGAUUUUCUUUCCAUCAUAAUAGCAGUAUGGACUAUGA